CCUCUCUAUAUUGGCAUUCACCACCCUGCCUCUUCUCUCGCUCUGCCUAGGCUUCUCUACAUCUUCUCUCGCUUAUUUCUUUUAAUUUUCUCUUUCUUUCUUUCUCUCCCUCCCUAUAUUCUGUAUUCCAUCGGGAGAGAAAGGGAGAGGCAAAGAGAUUAGUAUUGCUUAUUUGCAGGAGAUAUAUUUUAUCCAAGAACAGAGGGAAAAAAGAAGGAAGUAGAAAUAAAAACAAAAAGAUGGCAGUUCCAAGGAUUUCACUGGGCUUUUUUGCUAUCAUUGCUAUCAUUUGCACCAUUAUUUCGCCGGUGGCUCAGGCGCAAUCCACCGCUCCCGCUCCCGCGCCCACAAGCGAUGGCGCCGCCGUUGACCAAGGAAUUGCAUAUAUUCUAAUGUUGGUGGCUUUGGUGCUCACAUACCUUAUUCACUAAUUCGCCAGCACGUUGCCAUAAUCGGUCACAUUUUGCUAAAUAUUUUUUUUCCCUGGUUUAAAUGUCGAUGAUGAGGAACAACACAAAAGCAGCAGCGAGAAUAUUAAGUCGAUGGCAAUGGUGUGCAGCGUAGUUAGGCACAAGUUAUGGGGGAGAAUAAUUUGGAGGAAUGGAGGAGAUUUCAUUUCAUGUAUGUUUGAAGAUUAAAUUUUGUGUAAUGAUAUUCUCCACUCGGAUCGUGGCUGUCAUUUCCUAUAGCAUGUGUUGUCUUUUCACCUAUUCUCUUUGAGGUUAAUUUACUUUGUCCA
This is a non-coding RNA of Theobroma cacao (cacao), 739 nucleotides long. NCBI's taxonomy places the organism in Eukaryota, Viridiplantae, Streptophyta, Magnoliopsida, Malvales, Malvaceae. The record is from RefSeq and is a predicted model, not a curated record.